CAUCCCUUUAGUUCCAGCCUGAAGUGAGAGGACAGCGGACAGCUUGAGCCCAGGAGUUCUAAGCUGUCGUGUGGUAUGCACCAGUGUCCCCACUAAGUUCAACAUUCAUAUAUUGACCUUUCAGGAGCAGGGGAUGACCAGGUCACCUAAGGAAGGGUACACAGGCCCAGGUUGGAAAUAGAGCAGGUCAAAUUCUCUUGCUGGCUAGUGGUGGGAUUAGGCCUGAGAUCAGUCACUGCACUUCAGUCUGGGCAACAUAGUGGGGCCCUGUUCUUU
RNAcentral lists this signal recognition particle RNA (276 nucleotides) under Otolemur garnettii (small-eared galago). Its description in RNAcentral is "Metazoan signal recognition particle RNA". It matches the Rfam family "Metazoan signal recognition particle RNA". From Rfam's summary of the family: The signal recognition particle (SRP) is a universally conserved ribonucleoprotein. The record is from Rfam by way of RNAcentral. Lineage: Eukaryota; Metazoa; Chordata; Mammalia; Primates; Galagidae.